Molecule: long non-coding RNA, 2620 nt
Filed under: Equus asinus (donkey)
Lineage: Eukaryota; Metazoa; Chordata; Mammalia; Perissodactyla; Equidae
Description: lncRNA (ENSEASG00005027976.1)
Source: RNAcentral
CUCUGUGGAAAAGGUGGUUCUGAAAGAAGCAAAUAAGGUGCUCAGAGCCAUGGAGAGUGCUGUGCCUGCCUUGGGGCUGGUGAGGAAAAUGGCUGGGAGGCUGGAGCAAGACCCUCAGAGGAAAGAAGCCUCUGGAAUUCCUCUGUGAGUAGGAAAGUAUGGCCACACCCACUUCUUCUCCUGGAAUUCAAUCUCAGGCUGGUCUAGAGUGGCUGAGGUCAGAUCAGGGGUUCCCGAGGAUUCUGAGCUGAAUUGUGUUCCCCAAAAUUCAUAUGUUGAAGUCUUAAUCCGCAGUGCCUCAGAAUGUGACUUACGAAUGUGUCCUUAUGUGGUGUCCUUAUAAGAAGAGGAGGUUAGGACACAGACACGCACAGAAGGAAGACCAUGUGAAGAUCCAGGGAGAAGAUGGCCGUCAACAAGCCAAGGAGAGAGGCCUCAGAAGGACCAACGCUGCUGACCACUUGAUCUUGGACUUCCAGCCUCCAGAACUGAGAGGAUGUACCAAAUCUCCUACUGAGAUGGUGACUUUGUCUCUUUCUUCCUGUAGUUCAUUCAAUCUUUCCUUUGCAUGUUUUGAGUCUAUAUUAUUAGGUCAUGGAUUGCUGGUGAGGACCACCUUAAAAAGAAGAUUCACAACAAAUGCCUGCGUGGAAGCCCCAGAGGCUGAUGAGGACCAGCUGUGCACCUGACACCCAGUACCUGUCUUUUAAAGGUUUCGAGAAGCUUCUGCAGAUGACCUUGAACCAGAGGAGUCAGUUAAGCAACACAUCCCUGGAGAAGAUCCUUACAGAAUUUGGUUUCUGUACGGUCAUGACUCUGCAAUCCUGUGAGGAUGGCCACUGAAGAAAUGGAGGCCCUGGGAAAAUAAACAGCCUCUCCAAGGACCCAGGACCAGCAAGGGGAAGGUUCCCAGUUCUGCUCCAGGCAGAGGUUGCCAAUUAGUGAAAGCAUAUUCGGACGGCAGGUUUCUUGUCUUGUGCUGACCGCUUACCUUGGUAUGGCCUGUGACAGUCUCCAAGACACUUUCACUCGCACGGUCCCACGAGAACCUUGCAAGGUUCCUGCAAGGGAGGCAUGAGAACCAAACGGACCCAGGGAGGAUGAGUAAGCAGCAUGGCCAGCACUUGCACAGGUGUCUUUUCCAGUCACUCCUCUUUGUGGGGACCCUUGAUGCCAGCGAUAUACUACACGACCCAGGCUCUCUCCCAUCCAUUUGGAGCAAAGACCUCUGCAUGGGGUUUUCAGAUGUAGGCAGGUCUCUGCCCCGUGGCCCAGCUUUUGGUGAAUAUCCUCAAACGUGUCUAAAACUCAUCUCAACAUUCCCCCCUGCCCCCAGCUGCUCUUCUCGCCCCAUUCCUGAGUUCUGUGAGUUGCCCAGCCAGAAACCGGGGUGCCAGGCUUGACUCCUCCCUCACCCCUGCCCAAAGGCCCACGAAUGGUGCCUCCUAGUAGCUCUAGAAUUGAUCCCCCUGCCUGUACUCUAGCUCAAGCCACCGUUAUAUCUUCUCCAGACAACUGCAGUAGCGUCCUAAUGGAUGUAGUGACCUGAAUGGUGGCCCUCAAAUCUCAGGCCCCCAUCCUUGGAACCUGUAAUGUUACCUUAUAUGGGAAAGUUCUUGCAGAUGUGAUUAAGGACUUAAAAAAAUUAAAUUGGGGUAAAAUACACAAUAUAAUAUUUACCAUUUUAGUCAUUUUUAAGUGUACAGUUCAGUGGCAUUGAAUGCAUUCGUGUCAUUGUGCAACCAUCAGCACCAUCCAUCUCCGGAACUCUUCAUUUUGCAAGCCUGAAAUUCUGUACCCUUUAAACUUCCCAUUUGUCCCCAAUCCCUGCUCCAAAGCCCAGUGACCACCAUUCUGCUUUCUAUCUCUAUGAAUUUGGCUACUCUAGGGACCUCAUAUAAGUGGAAUCAUACGGUAUUUGUGCUUUUGUGACUGGCUUAUUUCACUUAGCAUAAUGUCUUCAAGGUUCAUCCAUGUUGUAGCAUGUGUCAGCAUUUCCUUCCUUUUAUAGGCUGAAUAAUAUUCCAUUGUAUGGAUACACCACGUUUUGUUUAUGUGUUCAUCCAUCCAUCCAUUUAUGUACGGACACUUGGGUUGCUUCCAUCUCUGGCUAUUGUGAAUAAUGCUGCUAUGAACAUGGGAGUACAAAAGUAUGUCCAAGUCCCCACUUUCAAUUCUUUUGGGUAUAUGCCCAGAAGUGGAAUUGAUGGAUCUUAUGGUAAUGCUGUGUUCAAUUUUUUGAGGAACCUCCAUACUGUUUUCCAUAGUGACUGCACCAUUUUACAUUCCCACCAAUAAUACAGUAGAGUUUAAAAGGAUUUUAAGAUGAGGAGAUUAUCCUAGACUGUCCCAAUGGACCCUAAAUGCCAUCACAAGUGUCUUUAUAGGGAAAAGGCAGAGGGAGAUUAGAAACAUAGGGAAGGUGAUAUGAAGGUGAAGGCAGAGACUGGAGUGAUGGGGCUAUAAGCCAAUGAAUGCUGGCAGCCACCAGAAACUGGAAGAGGCAAGGAGUGGAUUCCCCAGUAGAGCCUCUGGAGAGAGCACAGCCCUCCCGCCACCUUGAUUUCAGCCCACUGCGACUGAUUUCAAACUUCUGUCCUCCAGCACUGUGAAAGAAUAA